CACGUAGGGUGCGAGCGUUGUCCGGAAUUAUUGGGCGUAAAGAGCUCGUAGGCGGUGUGUCGCGUCGGCCGUGAAAACCUGCAGCUUAACUGUGGGCGUGCGGUCGAUACGGGCAUGACUGGAGUUCGGCAGGGAGGACUGGAAUUCCUGGUGAUGAGCGGUGAAAUGCGCAGAUAUCAGGAGGAACACCGGUGGCGAAGGCGGGUCUCUGGGCCGAUACUGACGCUGAGGAGCGAAAGCGUGGGGAGCGAACAGG
RNAcentral lists this ribosomal RNA (256 nucleotides) under uncultured bacterium. Its description in RNAcentral is "partial 16S ribosomal RNA". It matches the Rfam family "Bacterial small subunit ribosomal RNA", at positions 524 to 776 of the family's 1533-position model. The record is from RNAcentral.